RNAcentral lists this ribosomal RNA (470 nucleotides) under uncultured bacterium. RNAcentral describes it as "SSU rRNA". It matches the Rfam family "Bacterial small subunit ribosomal RNA", at positions 26 to 518 of the family's 1533-position model. The record is from RNAcentral.
AGGAUGAACGCUGGCGGCGUGCCUAACACAUGCAAGUCGAACGUCCUGUCUCGCAAGAGGCAGGGAGUGGCGGACGGGUGAGUACCACGUGGGUCAUCUACCGUGAGGUGAGGAAUACCGGCGAGAAAUCGCCGACAAGACCGCAUAGGCUCGAUGCAAGUCGAGCAAAGCUCUUUCGAGAGAGGGAGCGCCACACGAGGAGCCUGCGCCCGAUUAGCUAGCUGGUGGAGUAACGGUUCACCAGGGCGACGAUCGGUAGCUGGUCUGAGAGGACGAUCAGCCACACUGGGAUUGAGAACGGCCCAGACUCCUACGGGGGGCAGCAGUGAGGAAUUUCGUCAAUGGGGGCAACCCUGAACGAGCAACGCCGCGUGCAGGAAGAAGGUUUCGGAUCGUAAACUGCUUUUCUCGGGAAGAGAACGGACGGUACCCGAGGAAUCAGCCCCGGCUAACUACGUGCCAGCAGCCGC